AAACAACUCAAGUGUUUAUCUCCUGCGUAAACGCAGGGCAGUCCACUGAGAAAACAGGCAGUUAAAUGUUCAUACUUGUCUACAUUAGUAAAAUUUAAGUAUAUUAGGGUUCGUCCAUUCUUUGUUCCGCCGUAUAUAAAUGUAGAAGGAAGCCCUAAUGGCCACUUCCAUACACUUGGAGAUCAUCCUUUGAAAGUUAAUAUUAGUUCCCUUAAAUAACACUUUUAUAUCUUCAAAGUGAGAUGUUACAAUUCCAAGAGAAGUUAUUUCGAUCGAGAAAAAUUGAAAGCCUCUCCAUCUGUCUUUACUAUCUUGUUGUAAUGUCCUGUAUUUUGCUUGCUUAUAUUCUCUUGAUUUCUCUGCAUUCGUUUCGAAGCAACAUGUAAGUUCUAUUACAUAUAGGACACCAUUCUUUAUUAGGGCGAUGUCUGGCCGAAAAGUCUGAAAGAUUUCGCUUGUCCUUCGAUACCCAUCUAGAU
Non-coding RNA from Paramuricea clavata, 479 nucleotides. The record is from the annotation of a GenBank genome assembly. NCBI's taxonomy places the organism in Eukaryota, Metazoa, Cnidaria, Anthozoa, Malacalcyonacea, Plexauridae.